AGCUCCCUGGUGUGUUGGCCAGUCGGUACGUCCCUGAGCCGAUUCACUUAACCCGGGGGCUGCACUCUGAAGCCGGUGCGCAUGUCCGCCUGACGGAAAGCCUUAACGCUUCUUGCAGCCUCCACCUUGAACUUUCGGGUUCAAGGGCCACCCCGACAGCGGCACUUCGGGGAGUCA
RNAcentral lists this non-coding RNA (177 nucleotides) under Pseudomonas oryzae. RNAcentral's name for it is "6S / SsrS RNA". It matches the Rfam family "6S / SsrS RNA". From Rfam's summary of the family: E. coli 6S RNA was the first non coding RNA to be sequenced, but its function was unknown until recently. The record is from Rfam by way of RNAcentral. Lineage: Bacteria; Pseudomonadati; Pseudomonadota; Gammaproteobacteria; Pseudomonadales; Pseudomonadaceae.